Molecule: ribosomal RNA, 485 nt
Filed under: uncultured bacterium
Lineage: Bacteria
Description: bacterial SSU rRNA
Rfam family: Bacterial small subunit ribosomal RNA
Source: RNAcentral
AGAUACGCGCAGAACCUUACCAACACUUGACAUGUUCGUCGCGACUCUAAGAGAUUAGAGUUUUCGGUUCGGCCGGACGAAACACAGGUGCUGCAUGGCUGUCGUCAGCUCGUGUCGUGAGAUGUUGGGUUAAGUCCCGCAACGAGCGCAACCCUCACUUUUAGUUGCCAUCAUUAAGUUGGGCACUCUGAAAGAACUGCCAGUGAUAAGCUGGAGGAAGGUGGGGAUGACGUCAAGUCCUCAUGGCCCUUACGUGUUGGGCUACACACGUGCUACAAUGGCAUCUACAACAGGAAGCAAAACGGCAACGUUAAGCAAAUCCCGAAAAGAUGCCUCAGUUCGGAUUGCACUCUGCAACUCGAGUGCAUGAAGCUGGAAUUACUAGUAAUCGUGGAUCAGCGUGCCACGGUGAAUGCGUUCCCGGGUCUUGUACACACCGCCCGUCACACCAUGGGAGUUGGUUCUACCUUAAGGCAAGGUNUNAA